GUUCACUGUGUGUGAAUUUGUGGUCAGAAACCGCUGGCAUCCUCUCUGCUAUUUUCAGGACUGGUUGUCAUGGGAACAGAAUUGAUAUAAAAGUCACCAGGUUGUGGUGAUUUUGUAUAUGUGUGUGUGUGGACAGUAAACACACACAUACACACACAACUACCUUAUGGCUGAGGCCCUGAUGUCAUCUCACUGCUUCAAAUUGAUGGCGGUGCGCCGGGCAGACGAUGACAUCACAGAAAAGAGGUCGGGUCAGAGAAAAGUAGGAAUUCAGCGCCUUUAUCUCCGAUCUUUAAACGUCCACAGAACAGCUGAUUUUAAAGCUCCUCCCAUCGUACGGUGACACAAACAGCCCCCACCCAUCUGCAUGGUACUCACAACCCGCUGCACCCCAAAGACCUUCAACAUCAACACGACCGCCGUCACCAAAGAGCGUUUCAGGAGCCUGACCCCAGAAACUGACUCCCAACCUCAGACUGAGUCAUUUAACCACUGUUGCUUUUUUGUCUGUUUCUGGUCAUUUCACGUCACUCCCACAGUCAGCGGACUUCUUUUUGCCCCCCUCCCAGUGCUCAGUGCACCCACCCAGGACUCUGGGUGGAUUUUCCCUUUAAAUACAGCAUGAACAAACAAAGAGUUUAGGUGAAGCAGCAGGUCGAGGGCAAAGAUGAGCUCAGACGUCGCCGCUUUCCCACAGUCUGAAACACAGAAAGAAAGACAAGACAGUAGAACAGACGUCCCGACUCCCUUAAAGGGUAAAAAACAGCAGCGACAGAGCUGCUGGAGUUUCUAAUCCUAUGUAAACAGACUUGGUGUAAGGCAAGGAGGAAGAGGAGGAUACAGUUAGAGAGAGACGAGGGAGAGGAGGAGGAAGAGCAGAUGGUUGAAAAGAAUUAAAGGGCUCAGACAGUCAGACAAGUUCUUUUCGACCGAAGAAAGAAAAAUCCAAACCAACGGCUCUGCUAAAGUAUGGAGGCUCAGAGACGCCAUUUUCAGUCCAUCAUUGUUAAUCAUCAGUGUUUUUAAACUGGAAUUUAUUUUCCUUUGUUUACAUCAUACAUGUUCCUGCUUUAUUGUUGGUGGAGUUAAGUUUAGAAAGACCAUCUAACCCUGACAAACACCUGAUUCAAUUAGAUAUUAAAUAUCCUGCUUUGUGAUUAUCCACUUCUAGGAAAGAAUUAUUCAAAGUUUAACAUGUUUUUAUUGUGUAAAAUGAACGGGGCUCACAAUGUUUAGAUCAAUAAUUCAAUGUAAUUCAAGGUUUUUGUGAUUUUACAUUACAAAAUUGCAAAAUGCAUGUUUCAUUUGAAAGCUGUUGAAUUUUUUAUUAAAACAUAAAAGAAAAACUGUGUUUAGAAAAAAGGCUCACUCAGUUUGUGACUGAAGCUGUGAUUCUAUAUGAAACAUAAAUCUUAUUUAUAAAGCAAAGUUUUGUCUAUGAUUAAGAAAUAUUUGACUUUCUGAUAUAAAAAUACAGUUUUGAGGAAACAUGCUUUAAUGUCAUGCUCGAACAUUUAUUAACACAACGACGCACGGUAAAUAAAACUGCACAAAAACAGAUUAGCUGCUCAUUAGCUGUAAGUCUGAACAGUUUCAGAGCGAAGCCGUGCAGACUGAGAUUUUACUUUGAAGGUUUUCAUAAAAAGGAAGAAAAAACUACAUCUGGAUCAUUUUGUUUGUCAGUGUUAGAAAAAUAAAAGCUUCCUUCCUGUAACAGGAUGUCACGUUUCAGUCAUUUAUUUUGAAAGUUUAUCAGAUAUUUUAAGAAGAUGUAAGAGACUGAUCGAGUUCACUUGAUUGUGGAUAAAUAAUGAACAGGAUACUUUGGCCCACUGUCAGCUCGUUAUCACUCUUUAUUUGGCUCUCAGGUUCGUCUGCAUGAAUGACGACACUUCCUGCCCGUGUGAGCCUCUGGUACUCCACACGGUGACCUGCUAC
RNAcentral lists this long non-coding RNA (1938 nucleotides) under Oreochromis niloticus (Nile tilapia). Its description in RNAcentral is "lncRNA (ENSONIG00000043156.1)". The record is from RNAcentral. Lineage: Eukaryota; Metazoa; Chordata; Actinopteri; Cichliformes; Cichlidae.